Molecule: ribosomal RNA, 216 nt
Filed under: Glomeromycotina sp.
Lineage: Eukaryota; Fungi; Glomeromycota
Description: partial small subunit ribosomal RNA
Rfam family: Eukaryotic small subunit ribosomal RNA (bases 40-216)
Source: RNAcentral
GGGUCAGUAGGUUGGUCGUGCCACCGGUACGUACUGGUCUCACUGAUUCCUCCUUCCUGAAUAACCGUAAUGCCAUUAAUUUGGUGUUGCGGGGAAACAGGACUGUUACUUUGAAAAAAUUAGAGUGUUUAAAGCAAGCUAACGCUUGAAUACAUUAGCAUGGAAUAAUGAAAUAGGACGAUCGAUCCUAUUUUGUUGGUUUCUAGGAUUGACGUA